GUAUACAUAAUUUAAUUAAAAUGCUAGGCUGUGACCCUAAAAACGAAAGUUCAAUACUUUCUGUAAACC
This 69-nucleotide transfer RNA is filed under the name Plethodon welleri (spot-bellied salamander). RNAcentral describes it as "tRNA-His". It matches the Rfam family "tRNA". From Rfam's summary of the family: Transfer RNA (tRNA) molecules are approximately 80 nucleotides in length. Their secondary structure includes four short double-helical elements and three loops (D, anti-codon, and T loops). Lineage: Eukaryota; Metazoa; Chordata; Amphibia; Caudata; Plethodontidae. The record is from RNAcentral.